AUGAGUUUCACAUUGUAGACCUAGACCCCACUGAUUCAAUGGUUUGCCUCCCUGGACAUUAGGGGUCGAUCCCUUUGCACUCCUUGAAGAAGUAUGUUGUCCAGCCAGCAUUGUUUGCUGUCAUCUUGUUGGAAACCCUAAAUCUUAAAUCCUAGAUCCUAAACGCUGCUUUAUCUAUAAAGCAAGAAGAAGAACUGCCCAAGAACAAAGCAACCAGGAAUGAUAAGCCUCUGAUCAUCCUGGAUCAUGGCCAUCCCUGAGGAUUCUAGGCAGAUAGAUAACUGUCAUUGAGCUCAGGAAGGAGAGAGAAGCUUCUCACGACUCAAUGGCUUAAUUAUCCUAAUAAUCAUCUAGUCCAGCUUCCAUGAACAAUCAAACUUCCCAUUCUUUAUUAUGGGCCGUGACCCCUACGAUCAUGCUAUCAAUGCCAUUCUCCUGCUGCAUCCUUGUUGCCUAUAUCAUUCUGAUCAUCCACUGAGAUCUCAAGGAUAGACACCAAGAGACCAACAGCCCUAGGGAGAAAGAAAAAAUGGUGAAGAAACUCCGAAGUACAGGGGCUUCUCAGAAAGGAGUUCAACAUUGAGAUUGGUUUUGUGUUGAAGAUGAUAGGAAACAAGGAUGUUGUGUGAGAUUGUCGUUGGUAGCAUGUUCAUGGAGGUCACGGCCCAUAAUAAAGAAUGGGAAUUAAGUUCGAGAGUUUGUGAAGGCUGGACUGGAUAUCUUCACAAGAAGCUGCAGACCCCUGAGAGGCUCAUCUCUAUUGUCCAAAAUCCAAAGGACGGCCAUGAUCGACCCUUAAUGAUCAGAACCUUACCAUUUACAAAUCAAAAUGUUUUAAGCUGUCGUAAAAAAAAAUCCAGGGCCCACGCAUUGCCCCUAAAUAAUAGAAACCAAAGGCCCAAAAAUUAGGCUUAUGCUUGUAUAUCAGAUGCAGAGGUUAUGUAGUUGAGCCAAAUGUAAUGGAAAAAAUUCUUUUAAAUAA
Macadamia integrifolia is the source of this 982-nucleotide long non-coding RNA. RefSeq lists it as uncharacterized. The record is from RefSeq and is a predicted model, not a curated record. The transcript has 2 exons. Lineage: Eukaryota; Viridiplantae; Streptophyta; Magnoliopsida; Proteales; Proteaceae.